Molecule: ribosomal RNA, 492 nt
Filed under: uncultured bacterium
Lineage: Bacteria
Description: partial 16S ribosomal RNA
Rfam family: Bacterial small subunit ribosomal RNA
Source: RNAcentral
AGUGAACGCUGGCGGUAGGCCUAGCACAUGCAAGUCGAACGGCAGCACAGUAAGAGCUUGCUCUUACGGGUGGCGAGUGGCGGACGGGUGAGGAAUACAUCGGAAUCUACUUUUUCGUGGGGGAUAACGUAGGGAAACUUACGCUAAUACCGCAUACGACCUACGGGUGAAAGCAGGGGAUCUUCGGACCUUGCGCGAUUGAAUGAGCCGAUGUCGGAUUAGCUAGUUGGCGGGGUAAAGGCCCACCAAGGCGACGAUCCGUAGCUGGUCUGAGAGGAUGAUCAGCCACACUGGAACUGAGACACGGUCCAGACUCCUACGGGAGGCAGCAGUGGGGAAUAUUGGACAAUGGGCGCAAGCCUGAUCCAGCCAUACCGCGUGGGUGAAGAAGGCCUUCGGGUUGAAAAGCCCUUUUGUUGGGAAAGAAAAGCAGCAGGUUAAUACCCCGCUGUUCUGACGGUACCCAAAGAAUAAGCACCGGCUAACUUCGUG